CCACACCUAAAAACUUUCCACGUGAACCGUUCGGAGUGCCCUCGGGCACGAUUGUGGGGACUCCCCGCGUGCGCGCAUGCGUGCGUGCGUGCGGGUCGAGGCUCCGUCUGGGCUUGAGUCUGCGCUGUGCAUUCGUGCCUGGCGCGGGUUCGCUCGGACGCCAUUUCCUUUUAAACCCUUUACUAAGUACUGAUUAUACUGUGGGGACGAAAGUCUCUGCUUUUAACUAGAUAGCAACUUUCAGCAGUGGAUGUCUAGGCUCGCACAUCGAUGAAGGACGCUGCGAACUGCGAUACGUAAUGCGAAUUGCAGGAUUCAGUGAGUCAUCGAAAUUUUGAACGCAUAUUGCACUUCCGGGUUAUGCCUGGGAGUAUGUCUGUAUCAGUGUCCGUAAAGCACUCUUGCCUCUCUUCCUUCCGUGUAGUCGGUGGCGGGGACGGCAGACGUGAAGUGUCUUGCUGCUGCUCCGAUUUUGUUUUGGAGCUUGCGCGGCAAGUCCUUUGAAACUUUACUUUUCUCUCUCUUUUGCCGAAAGCGAGCUGGAAGUGGGCUGUGGCGGCUGCCUGUGUGCGGCGCGUUGCGUCUGUUCCUGCGAGAGCGUUUUGGAGAGGGCUUGUCGAUUCGCGGUAUGUUAGGCUUCGGCCGGACAGCACGCUUAUUGGUGGGCUCUGUCUGUUCUUGCGGUUGAACGGGUGCGCUGCGCUGUGCAUUGGGCUUGGCCGCUGAGCCUUUUUUAACUUUCGGCGUUCAACUCGCGAGUAGUGCGUCUGCGCGCGCUGUUUCAAAUGUUUUUGUUUGGAGCGGCGCUGCGGGCGAGGGGGGACUGUCCAUUUGGGAAACCUGUGCAUUCGCUGUGCGCCCGGCCUUUUUGUUGGGCGCGCGUGGCUUUUGCAUCUCAA
RNAcentral lists this ribosomal RNA (899 nucleotides) under Halophytophthora polymorphica. RNAcentral describes it as "eukaryotic LSU rRNA". The stretch from base 236 to 390 matches the Rfam family "5.8S ribosomal RNA". The record is from RNAcentral. Lineage: Eukaryota; Oomycota; Peronosporomycetes; Peronosporales; Peronosporaceae.